AAAUGCUCAUGUACUGUGCGUUGGGUGCACACUAAAAAUCCCCAAUUGGUCUAAAUUAUCUCGCAGUUCCCUACUACAGUGGGCCGCAUUUUCAGAUCUUGUUUUGGCACAUAAAACACUAGAAUUCAAUUAUUAUGGGAUCAAUUUUACUGCCCUUUGGAUCUAAUAGGUGUUUUCUUUCCAAGAGCCUUCUUUCUUGUGGCUGUGUUUGAGCCACAGUGGAAGAAUAGACUAGGUGUCUGAACAAGGCUGCCAUGCCAAUGGUCUUUUUGGUCAUGGUUUAUGUCUCUCUCGGCUCAUGGCACAGAUCAUUGGGUGAUCAACCACAGCAGCUGCAUGGUGUGCGGGGCUCCUUUACAAUGUGUGUAUGAAAGAGUCGCUAGUAAAUUAUGCCAUGUAUAAAUGUGUACUAAGCUUCUGGUGAGCCUUUGGGAAGCAAGCUUAGGUGUAUGUUCUUAAAUAUCUAAACUGAGUCGCCGUAUUCAGACCUCAGUGUGCUUUGCAACUCGUGAAAGUCCAGUGUAGAGACUAGCGAUUACUGGGGACCCAGAAAUAAAUAAUUUCAGAGGUUACUACACCACCAUUUCAGAGCUUUCCGACAUGGCUUCACGGGCACAGGUGGGACGAAGCACAGAAAGGCAGUGUCCGAGCGAUUCAUGGCCAUGCUGGAAAAUUUGCUCUUUGAAUUGUGCUUCUUAUUGCUAUUAACAUUGUAUUUAGGCUUUUUAAAGCAAAGCGUUCUUUUCCUUUGACUUUUACGCUGCUGCUGCCGCUGUCUUGCAAGCUGCAUCAGGGGGGUGAUUCAGAGCGUGCAUAUACAUGGAAGUAGCAGGGCAGAGAGGAUAGAUGACACAAGAAACUUGUUUGGACCUUUCCAUUGUGUCGCAUGUGCCCAGUGUUCUCUAGAGCUCCCCGGCCAUUGUCCCAUUCGCCUCUUGACACCUGUAAUCACCCAUUACCUCCCUCAAAAGUAUUGCAGAAACUGCACUGCUUACCCUUCUACUAAUGUGCAAGUCCUGAGGAGAGAUAGAGAGAACGGUAGGGAAGGGCUAGCAAGAAGACGCAGAGAAUGCGUAGAACCUGGUGCAGUCGCGAAACAAGUGAACAACAGCCUUGCCACUCUUAGCUCGCGUUUACCGUACAGGGGGAAAGUGCAGGACUGGGAAAAGGCGAUGUGAUAAGAUAGCGCUUCUACUAUGGAAACGACAGCGGUUGUGGGCAAACUGAAGGUACGGUACUCUAGGUUUCUACUAUUUCUGAAAAAUUAACAUAAUGGAAAUUUUCCAAGUAGACAGCUAACGCAGAGCAUUUAGAUUCAAAGCUACAUUAAAUUGCCAUAGGGUCUAGGUUACACUAUACUAGCGGUUGCAUGCCAAAUCAACACCUCUGUGCCCACAGUGCUAGUUAUACAGCUAUAGCAUUGCUCGACGUUGCAAGUUUAAUCCCCACCGCAGUAGCCAGAUUUCUGUGGAAGUGAAAUACUAAAAUGUCUGUGCACUUAAAUUGAGGUGCAUAUUAAAGGGCACCAGGAUAUCAAAAUUAAUCCGUAGUCUACCACUAUGGGUGCCUCAUAAUUCGAUUUUGGUUUUGCCACUUAUGGCCCGUAAUUCUGCCAACACUUCUGCUGCAAUGCGAUGUGCCAUGAGAAGCAAUGACAAUGCUCAAUCUUCUCACAGGUUAUAAACGAUGGCACACAACAAUGCUUCAAGUAAACACAUCUCCCUGUGUGUUCUGUGCACUAUGCAGACAAGUAGCAGUGGUGUACAUAAGGAUCAAAGCAUUCAUCUAGUGCAGCAACUACCGAGGAUGAGAAGUCACAGCAAGGACACCUCCACCACUGUGAUCACUGUGACUAUAAAACUAGAAAACCGUCCGAUAUGAGAGCACACGUUAGGGUCCACACAGGUGAGCAUCCCUUUCAGUGCCCUUUGUGGUCUUACAGCUUUUCA
RNAcentral lists this long non-coding RNA (1949 nucleotides) under Dermacentor andersoni. RNAcentral's name for it is "uncharacterized LOC126526375". The record is from RNAcentral. Lineage: Eukaryota; Metazoa; Arthropoda; Arachnida; Ixodida; Ixodidae.